Long non-coding RNA from Leptonychotes weddellii (Weddell seal), 762 nucleotides. RefSeq lists it as uncharacterized. NCBI's taxonomy places the organism in Eukaryota, Metazoa, Chordata, Mammalia, Carnivora, Phocidae. The record is from RefSeq and is a predicted model, not a curated record.
CAGGACCCUGGGAUCAUGACCUGAGCCGAAGGCAGACGCUUAACGACUGAGCUACCCAGGCGCCCCAAGAAAGCCGUCUUUCUUGACACAAUUCUGACCAUCAAGGAAGAGCCAGCGGGCAAUGACAAGGAAGUUCUGCUUAUGUUUGCAGGCAGAAGGGAAAGAGCCAGUAGGUGAAGCCGAAGCCACAGCAGACAAGGAAUAAAGCAUGGAGCAGGGGCCUGUCCUGGGGAGCCACCUGGGUUCUAGAAGAAAGGAGGUGAUGACAUGAGUGGAGAGAAAAAUAGUUGGGAUUCCCUGGCGAAAAAGUCCAAUAAGGUAAACCCUCGGAGCAAGCAAGAAGGAUCCCGAAGAAGAAAAUGAGUGGGAUGCAUCCAAGGAAGGCCAGGCGGGCACCAGACAGCUGUCUGCUUGGGCCCCAGGCACAGCACAGACAGCUGUGUUUGCUUGGCCAAAUCUAUUCAACAAUUGGAAUUUUUGUCUGUUCUGCUAUAAAACUGGAAUCAUUCUACCCACCUCAAAGAAUUAUUGUGAAAAUUAAAUGAAAGAAAGGGAAAAGAACCGCAAUUAUUCCCAAGCCUAGAUCCAGAAGUAACUUCUCCCGAGGGUCCUCAUAAAGGAGACAGUGUGUAACUGAAAUAAGCAAAGACUUCAAGGACUUUCGUGCAGUUAAAUGUAAUAUAUUACCUCCAAGAAUCCCUCUAACUCUGUGUUCUAUGAUUAUUUGUAAUUCAAAUUAGAGUAAAUUUUGUUAAAACAAAA